CUUUUAGCGGCCGAGCGAAGCGCGUGUCUGUGGUCCCCAUUUCUCAUCGAAAAGAUCAAAGCCUGGCACGCGACCCGUUAGCUGCCGCAUCCGUCGCACGCGGCACUUUUCCUUGAAUCAUCAAUUUUGGGCCAGGGUGCAUAAUUAAAACAUUUUUAAUCCCAACCAAGUGAUGCAGAAGAAGAGCGCGCGGUCUACUCCUCCCACGUGCUCCACACGCACCUUCCUCGUGUCCCCGUCAGGGACCUUGUGGGGUCCGAGCCUCCCCACCCGACGCUGAUCUUCGUGGGCUGAGAGGCGCAGGACGGACCUGGCUUCAGAGGAAUGAUCAUCAUGUCUGUCGGAAAUGUGUUGACAUUCGGACUUCUGCUCGGUGGCUUGAUGUCCUUCGCGGUCUCGCACGGGAAUGCCGGUCGUAAGCCUGACACGAACCCCCGGUCCAGGGGCACUGUGGGCGAAGGGGGUCUCCAGUCAGUUUUGGACAGCACCGUGUCCCCUGCCUUGGGCGCAACCAUCAUAAUCAUCCUCACGGUGAUCGUGUCGGGCAGCGCCUACCUCUGCUUCCUCAAGUACGUAUGCGCCGGCUGCUGCAGGACCGCCCAGGUAGCGCCCAGCAAUCACCCGGACCCCAGCAGGGCCGAGGAGCAGGUGUAGGGGCUGAGCACUCUGUGUGUGCGUGCAUGUGAGUGAAACUGUGUCCCAGCUUCUUAAAUGGAUUAAAAGAUGGGAACUGUUAAUAAAGGACUGAACUAGUAAUCGCGGGUAACCA
This 769-nucleotide long non-coding RNA is filed under the name Scleropages formosus (Asian bonytongue). Its description in RNAcentral is "lncRNA (ENSSFOG00015025973.1)". Lineage: Eukaryota; Metazoa; Chordata; Actinopteri; Osteoglossiformes; Osteoglossidae. The record is from RNAcentral.